This 2599-nucleotide long non-coding RNA is filed under the name Lactuca sativa (garden lettuce). RNAcentral's name for it is "long non-coding RNA (LSAT_LNC007184)". Lineage: Eukaryota; Viridiplantae; Streptophyta; Magnoliopsida; Asterales; Asteraceae. The record is from RNAcentral.
GAAUAAAAUGGUUGUCGGGGAAAAAUAUGGUAGUAGCUAGAAACAACCUUGGUAAGGGUUAUAAAACAUUAAGAUCAUUUGUAGUUUUAAAAGUAAAAUAAUAAACUCACCAAAAAAAAAUUACUACCUUAAUUAAGUUUAAGACAACUAUAAAACUCCUAUUUUCUAAAGAGGACAGCCCCAUUCAAAUUCGACCCUAAUCUCUCUUUCCCUUGUAUCCACAAAUCACAAUUGUCUCAAGUUCUCAACUGCAUUUCACAAUACGCUAACAUCGUGUCUUAGGUAAAACCUCUGACCCUAAUUUGCUUUAAAGUUCCAGCCUACAAGUUGUCAAGGAUUUUAACCUACAAAUUUGAUCAUUUUCUUCUAAUCUGAUUAUUUUGCUUGGUUUGAUCUGAUCUAAUUGAUCUGAUUUGAGUUUCUGCCCUUAAUUGAUUAAAUGUGUUAUAAUCUGAUUAUUUUAACCGACAACCACCCAACUCCGACGCUUCUUCUCCUUUCUUCGGUGAGACCAACCUUUCUCUUUCUCUAUUUUUCGAUCACCACUCAUUGCAAGUGCUAGUAGCUUCGAAUGGUGGUUCUCUGUCGUAUUCUUCUAAAGUCCAAUCUUUCUCCCCCAAUUCUAACUAAGAACUGCACACAUCAGAUACUUAAUUACGUGUAAGUUGAGACUGAAAACCGAUAAUUUAUUGCAAACAGUCAUCAGAUCUUAUAUGGAGUCUUAAAAAUCAAUGCAAUUUGAUCAAUGAAAUCCACAAAAUCCAUUCCCAAAUAUUCACAAGAUGACUUGUUUCUCUCUAUCCUUCAUUCGCCUCCUACCUACAGGUCACCAUCCUCCAUACCUUUAACUUCUUCAUCUCUGCCCCUCCACAUCCACUGCAUCGUCAUCAUCCCAUUUCAAUAAACUAACCUAUUUCUAUAUUCAACCUCAUCGGUAUUUAUAUCAGACAAGGAGGAGGACAAACAUAGAGGAGAUUUUUGGUCCGUCCAACUCCACAGUCGAGCUCAACAGUAGCAACACACAGGUGAGAAGGCGAGGUGGCUUGGAGGAUAUGGAGACGUUACUUGCAGCGGAUGAAAUCAGUCGUGUGAAGGGGAGGAUGAAGGUGGUUUGAAAGGGACGAUGAGUACCUCCGACGACUGGAUUUUGACUUCCUCCGGUGGCCAGAUUUUGACUUCUCAGGAAGGAGAGGUUUUCAGAUGAAGAUAGAGAAACGGGAAAAGGGAUUUAGGGAAUCCAGCUAAAUGAGGAUGGGGGUGGGUAAGUGUGAGGCCCAUAUCAUUUUCUAUAUAUUGUAAACAGUCAUCAUAUCUUAUAUGGAGUCUUAAAAAUCAAGGCAAUUUGGUCAACGAAAUCCACAAAUCCAUUCCCAAAUAUUCACCAGAUGGCUUGUUUCUCUCCAUCCUUCAUCCGCCUCCUACCUACAGGUCACCAUCCUCCAUACCUUCAACUUCUUCAUCUCUGACCCUCCACAUCCACUGCAUCGUCAUCAUCCCAUUUCAAUAAACUAACCUAUUUCUAUAUUCAGCCUCAUCGAUAUUUAGAUCAGAAAAUGAGGAGGACAAACAUAGAGGAGAUUUUUGGUCCGUCCAACUCCACAGUCGAGCUCAACAGUAGCAACACACAGGUGAGGAGGCGAUGGUGGCUUGGAGGAUAUGGCGACGUUACUUGCAGCGGAUGAAAUCGGUUGUGUGAAGGGGAUGACGAAGGUGGUUUGAAAGGGACGAUGAGUACCUCCGACGACUGGAUUUUGACUUCCUCCGGUGGCAAGAUUUUGACUUCUCAGGAAGGAAAGGUUUUGGAUGAAGAUAGAGAAACGAAUUCGGGUUUUCGGGUUUCGGGUAUUCGGGUUUGAGGUCGGGUCGGGUAUACCAGAAAAUUUAUUAAGUGACACUUAUUGAUAUUUUUUUUUGUUUUUUAUAUGUUGGUUGGUUUAAUAUAGAAUUAGUUAGGAAAAUACUCCAUACAAUUAACAAAUGCAUAUAGAAUAAAAAUACAAAUCAUUAUAAUAUGUUAUGAAGGGUUUUGUUUUAUUUGAAGUGUGCGUACGUGACUGCAUUGUAUAUUUGGUAUUAGUUAAAAAACGAAUUCGGAUAUACCCGAAAAUAAAUAUUCAUACCUAAAACCCGAACUAUAUUAUUAUCGCGUUAACCUAUUACCCGAAUGUUUAUACCCGUCACCCGUUCUACCCGACCCAUUCUACCCGAAUUCAGAACGGGUCGGAUGGGUAGAACGGGUUUCUGGUUUUUUCAACAGGCCUAAUAUGAUUACCUGUAUUUGUUUGCUAUAUGUUAUUUGUUACAUAUGUCGACAUAGUAUGGGUGGGUUGAGGCUAUACUGCUUUGUGUUGUCGGCUAACAAACCCAAACAAUCUAAUCGGGAGAUUCUGGGCCAGAAUGGCAAUCCAAUCAGGAGAUUGUGGACUAGAGUGGCAAUCUAAUCGGAAUAUUAUGGGCUAUGGUAAUCCAGUCGGGAGACUCUAGACCCAACAUGCAGUAUGUAUAUCUGUAUGGUUGUGUGUGGUACUUUGGGGGAACUCACUAAGCUUUGGCUUACAGUUUGAUGGUUAUGGUUUUAGGUACUUCAGAGGACACAGGG